AGAGCCCAGCACCGAAUCCUUCACCAUCUCGGUGACAGGAAAUGUGGUGUUUAGGCCGUACCUUGUCCCGACACGUCUCUCCUCAAGUCCACUUGAUUGUGGCCCCAGGCCCAGAGAGGGUGUAAGGCCCGUGGAGGCGAGACGUUCGGUACCUGGUGCGUCCUUAGAGUCGGGUUGUUUGGGAAUGCAGCCCUAAGCGGGUGGUAAACUCCAUCCAAGGCUAAAUACCAGCACGAGUCCGAUAGCGAAGAAGUACCGCGAGGGAAGGUUGAAAAGAACUUUGAAGAGAGAGUUCAAGAGUACGUGAAACCGCUGAGAGGCAAACUGGUGGAACUGAAAUGGUCCCGAGGAAUUCAGCCGUUGGUCGUUGCACAGUCUUUGGUGAUUGAUCUAACGACGGCGCCAUUGAAUGACGUUUCGAUCAUCGGUGCACUUUCCUCGCCUGGGCCCGACCACGACCGGUGAGCUGAUCUGUCUGUCGUGCUUGGAAGAUAGCGCCGUCUUCGGAAGGCGUGUUAUAGACAGGCAUACGGAGCAGUCGGCGCACUGGAUGAUAGUGCCUGCCCAUCUGGGCUCAUAUGGUGGUUGUUUUGUUGGCGAGUUCUGAUGUCACUACUUCGGUAGAGUCGUUAGACUCUGUUGGCAUUAUGGCUGUCCUCUAUGAUUGGCACUGUUAAGUCUGUGGUUGUGAAGUAGGUAGUCCACCUGACCCGUCUUGAAACACGGACCAAGGAGUCUAACAUGUGCGCGAGUCAUUGGGUUCACGAAACCUAAAGGCGCAGUGAAGGUAAAGAUCUGUUUUGGCAGAUUGAGGUGGGAUGCCGGGUUACGCGCCCGGCCGCACUACCGGCCCGUUCUAUAUGUCUUUCAUAGGAGCGGAGCAAGAGCGUACACGUUGGGACCCGAAAGAUGGUGAACUAUGCUUGCGCAGGUCGAAGCC
RNAcentral lists this ribosomal RNA (940 nucleotides) under Thysanozoon brocchii. RNAcentral describes it as "partial large subunit ribosomal RNA". It matches the Rfam family "Eukaryotic large subunit ribosomal RNA", at positions 104 to 853 of the family's 3401-position model. Lineage: Eukaryota; Metazoa; Platyhelminthes; Polycladida; Pseudocerotidae. The record is from RNAcentral.